GCUGGUGUGGCUCAGAGGUAGAGCACUUCCUUGGUAAGGAAGGGGUCACGGGUUCAAUUCCCGUCACUAGCU
Molecule: transfer RNA, 72 nt
Filed under: Pseudobutyrivibrio sp.
Lineage: Bacteria; Bacillati; Bacillota; Clostridia; Lachnospirales; Lachnospiraceae
Description: tRNA-Thr
Rfam family: tRNA
About the family: Transfer RNA (tRNA) molecules are approximately 80 nucleotides in length. Their secondary structure includes four short double-helical elements and three loops (D, anti-codon, and T loops).
Source: RNAcentral